RNAcentral lists this long non-coding RNA (323 nucleotides) under Rattus norvegicus (Norway rat). RNAcentral describes it as "long non-coding RNA NONRATT025914". The record is from RNAcentral. Lineage: Eukaryota; Metazoa; Chordata; Mammalia; Rodentia; Muridae.
GAGUCACAGGCUUGAAUUUCAUUGUUUCUUUGUGGAGAUGCUGAAAUGGCAAUUCCAGAGAGAACAAAUGCUCACGGGUCUCUCCGAUGCUAACGUCAGGGAAUCGGGAAUCCUUAAAGUCCACCAGUCCCCAAAGCACCCAGGAGCUCUGCCUGCUCUUGGAGGUUUAAUCAACUCCCAGAGCACAAGGGACCACAUUCUCCUAACCCAGCUCAUUCUCAUGAGCCUUGCCUUUCUUAGAGGCAAAGAAUGCAUUCUUUCCCAGUUACAAAGUAACAGACGUGCAGCACAUAAAAACUGGAAAACUUGAAAAGGCACAAAAA